GACUCUCGGCAACGGAUAUCUCGGCUCUCACAUCGAUGAAGAACGUGGCGAAAUGCGAUACUUGGUGUGAAUUGCAGAAUCCCGUGAACCAUCGAGUCUUUGAACGCAAGUUGCGCCCGAAGCCAUUAGGCCGAGGGCACGUCUGCCUGGGCGUCG
Molecule: ribosomal RNA, 156 nt
Filed under: Nicotiana attenuata
Lineage: Eukaryota; Viridiplantae; Streptophyta; Magnoliopsida; Solanales; Solanaceae
Description: rRNA 5_8S_rRNA
Rfam family: 5.8S ribosomal RNA
About the family: 5.8S ribosomal RNA (5.8S rRNA) is a component of the large subunit of the eukaryotic ribosome. It is transcribed by RNA polymerase I as part of the 45S precursor that also contains 18S and 28S rRNA. Functionally, it is thought that 5.8S rRNA may be involved in ribosome translocation.
Source: Rfam by way of RNAcentral